This 786-nucleotide ribosomal RNA is filed under the name Triticum aestivum (bread wheat). RNAcentral's name for it is "partial small subunit ribosomal RNA". The record is from RNAcentral. Lineage: Eukaryota; Viridiplantae; Streptophyta; Magnoliopsida; Poales; Poaceae.
AUGAUAGGCCUAAGGUGGAACUGCCGAGGAAUCGGCGGCGCCUCGACAGUUCGUGAUCCCACUGCCCUCGUUCAGUGUCAUCAUCCACAGUUUGUGUUUUUGUGUGAAACUCGGCAAAGUGCGAAAAAAUUCAGCCGUCUUCGUUCUCGGUUAGGUCUUCGUGGUUUUUGUGGAAUUGAUAGUGUGGGUCAAAGUGGUGGCCUCGCUCUAUUUUGGAAUGAUCAAUUAUCAGUUGAGAUAAAGGAGAAGAAAGAGAGGUUUAUUGAUGCUCAUAUUCGUGCUUCCUCAACUGAUCCCUUUUGGCAUUUAACUUGUGUGUAUGGUGAACCGCGUACUGAAAACCGUCAUCGGAUGUGGACCAUCUUGUCUGACAUCCGAGCAUCGAGCGACCUUCCGUGGAUGCUCAUGGGAGAUUUUAAUGAAGCUAUGUGGCAGUGCGAACAUUUGUCUGUCACCCCAUGCCCGGCUAGCCAAAUUGCAGCAUUCCGUGAAGUUGUACAAGAUUGUGAGCUCCAUGACCUUGGGUUUGCCGGAGCUCCUUUCACUUAUGAUAAUAGAAGGAGGGGAAGAGCAAACGUGAAAGUGAGGUUGGACCGUGCUCUAGCUGACGAUCAGUGGAGGGACAUUUUCUCAUAUGCUAGUGUGGUCCAUUUGGUUUCUCCAUGUUCGAACCACCUACCGCUACUUGUCCACCUGCAGAAAGAGGAAGUACUACCCCCGAGGCAGCGACCGAGGCAGUAUGAAGUUUUUUGGGAGCGUGCAGGUGAGCUGCCUGAAUUGAUCUAG